This is a long non-coding RNA of Bubalus bubalis (water buffalo), 636 nucleotides long. RefSeq lists it as uncharacterized. The record is from RefSeq and is a predicted model, not a curated record. The transcript has 3 exons. NCBI's taxonomy places the organism in Eukaryota, Metazoa, Chordata, Mammalia, Artiodactyla, Bovidae.
UGUGACGAGACAAAGAACCAAGGAACAUACACUCGCGUGACAUCUAUGGUGCCGUGACUCGGAUUUAACCUGGCUGAAACAACCUCUACGUGGAAGAGGCCAAGCACAACAGGAGCCCAACUCAGCAAAGCUCCCAUGCUAGAAGCAGAAGGUGAAGAAACCCAGUGCAGUGGAAGGCCCAUCUUGCUGGAAACCGGGACAGCAAAAAACGAACUCUGAGCAGAAAGCUCACGCGGCCCAGUCUCAGAUUCCAGAAGACCUCCGGUUAAGGUCAACCAGCUACAACAUGCAGUGUCAGUUCAACAAAGGUCAAAGCAAGUCAUGAGGCCAGUCUAUAUUCAAAGGGAAGAAAAUGGACUCCAUCUCUUGAUGCAAAGAGCAGAAUCUAGGUACCAAAAGAGAAAGAGUGGUCAUUGGCUGUCUUUGGACAUAUUUUCCAUGGCACUUAAUAAAUUAUGCAUCUACAUGCAUGUGUUAUGUGUGCUUGUAUAUAUUAAGCAUGAUUGAGCAGAAUUAUACACUAUUCAUAGAUAUCUGAGGUGUAGAUAUGAGAAAAUUAGGCACUUAUGUUAUCAUCAUGAACUAAUAAUUCAGUGGAAGAGACAGUUUAUAAUACAAUAAAAAAAUUCAAAUAAA